This 282-nucleotide ribosomal RNA is filed under the name uncultured Thermus sp. RNAcentral's name for it is "partial 16S ribosomal RNA". It matches the Rfam family "Bacterial small subunit ribosomal RNA", at positions 1096 to 1382 of the family's 1533-position model. The record is from RNAcentral. Lineage: Bacteria; Thermotogati; Deinococcota; Deinococci; Thermales; Thermaceae.
GCGCCACCCCGUCGUAGUGCCAGCGGUUCGGCCGGGCACUCUAACGGGACUGCCCGCGAAAGCGGGAGGAAGGAGGGGACGACGUCUGGUCAGCAUGGCCCUUACGGCCUGGGCGACACACGUGCUACAAUGCCCACUACAAAGCGAUGCCGCCCGGCAACGGGGAGCUAAUCGCAAAAGGUGGGCCCAGUUCGGAUUGGGGUCUGCAACCCGACCCCAUGAAGCCGGAAUCGCUAGUAAUCGCGGAUCAGCCAUGCCGCGGUGAAUACGUUCCCGGGCCUU